AGGGAAGAGAUCCUAAUGGAGGCGCCUCA
This 29-nucleotide non-coding RNA is filed under the name Homo sapiens (human). Lineage: Eukaryota; Metazoa; Chordata; Mammalia; Primates; Hominidae. The record is from RNAcentral.